Molecule: ribosomal RNA, 328 nt
Filed under: uncultured eukaryote
Lineage: Eukaryota
Description: partial 18S ribosomal RNA
Rfam family: Eukaryotic small subunit ribosomal RNA
Source: RNAcentral
CCCUUAGGUGUCCGGGGCUGCACGCGCGCUACACUGAAGGAAUCAGCGUGCUAAAACCAUUGUCGAAAGGCAUUGGUAAACCCAUUAAAAUCCUACGUGAUUGGGAUCGGGAAUUGCAAUUAUUUCCCUUGAACGAGGAAUUCCCAGUAAGUGUGGGUCAUAAGCUCGCGUUGAUUACGUCCCUGCCCUUUGUACACACCGCCCGUCGCUGCCCGGGACUGAGCCGUUUCGAGAAAAGCGGGGACUGCUGCUGUCGGGGCUUUCGGGCCUUGGCUUCGGUGGAAACCGCUUUAAUCGCAGUGGCUUGAACCGGGCAAAAGUCGUAACA